AAUAUUGGACAAUGGGGGCAACCCUGAUCCAGCCAUGCCGCGUGUGUGCAGAAGGUCUUCGGAUUGUAAAGCACGUUACGUUCGGAGAAAGUGCUUUAGGUUAAUACACUGAAGUUAUUAUGUUACUCACAGAAGAAGUUCCGGCUAACGCUGUUUCAUCGGCCGCGGUAAUACAGAGGCUGCAAUCGUUAAUCGGAAUUACUGGGCGUAAAGCGCGCGUAGGUGGUUCAGUAAGAUGGGUGUGAAAUCCCCGGGCUUAACCUGGGAACUGCUUUCAUAACUGCUGAGCUAAAGUACGGUAGAGGGUAGUGGAAUUUCCUGUGUAGCGGUGAAAUGCGUAGAUAUAGGAAGGAACACCAGUGGCGAAGGCGACUACCUGGACUGAUACUGACACUGAGGUGCGAAAGCGUGGGGAGCAAACA
RNAcentral lists this ribosomal RNA (422 nucleotides) under uncultured bacterium. Its description in RNAcentral is "partial 16S ribosomal RNA". It matches the Rfam family "Bacterial small subunit ribosomal RNA", at positions 360 to 774 of the family's 1533-position model. The record is from RNAcentral.